AGUGAAUAGAUACCCCGGUAGUCCUAGCCGUAAACGAUACUCGCUAGGUGUCGGCCACGGUGCGACCGUUGUCGGUGCCGUAGGGAAAGCCGUGAAGCGAGCCACCUGGGGAAGUACGGCCGCAAGGCUGAAACUUAAAGGAAUUGGCGGGGGAGCACCACAACGGGUGGAGCUUGCGGUUUAAUUGGAUUCAACGCCGGAAAUCUUACCGGGACCGACAGCAACAUGAAGGCCAGGCUGAAGACUUUACCGGUAUUAGCUGAGAGGUGGUGCAUGGCCGUCGUCAGUUCGUACUGUGAAAGCAUCCUGUUAAGUCAGGCAACGAGCGAGACCCACGCCCACAGUUGCCAGCGUACUCUCCGGAGUGACGGGUACACUGUGGGGACCGCCGCUGCUAAAGCGGAGGAAGGAAUGGGCAACGGUAGGUCAGUAUGCCCCGAAUAUCCCGGGCUACACGCGAGCUACAAUGGUUGGUACAAUGGGUAUCUACCCGAAAGGGGAUGAAAUCUCCUAAAGCCAAUCUUAGUUCGGAUUGA
RNAcentral lists this ribosomal RNA (536 nucleotides) under uncultured bacterium. RNAcentral's name for it is "bacterial SSU rRNA". It matches the Rfam family "Archaeal small subunit ribosomal RNA", at positions 724 to 1257 of the family's 1478-position model. The record is from RNAcentral.